AUCGCUACUUGGCCUUUUGGCUAAGAUCCAGUGGAGUAUCUGUUCUUAUCAGUUUAAUAUCUGACACGUCCUCUAUCUGAGGGCAAUAUAUUAAGUGGACUUUUGGAGCAGGGAGAUGGACUAGGGGCUUGCUCUGUCCACUCCACAUUCUACCUGGUAUUGCGGUACCUCCAGGAACGGUGCACCCCCC
Molecule: small nuclear RNA, 190 nt
Filed under: Dasypus novemcinctus (nine-banded armadillo)
Lineage: Eukaryota; Metazoa; Chordata; Mammalia; Cingulata; Dasypodidae
Description: U2 spliceosomal RNA (ENSDNOG00000031593.1)
Rfam family: U2 spliceosomal RNA
About the family: U2 is a small nuclear RNA (snRNA) component of the spliceosome (involved in pre-mRNA splicing).
Source: RNAcentral